Molecule: ribosomal RNA, 252 nt
Filed under: uncultured bacterium
Lineage: Bacteria
Description: partial 16S ribosomal RNA
Rfam family: Bacterial small subunit ribosomal RNA
Source: RNAcentral
UACGUAGGGGGCAAGCGUUGUCCGGAAUUAUUGGGCGUAAAGCGCGCGCAGGCGGCUAUGUAAGUCUGGUGUAUAACCUCAGGGCUCAACCCUGGGUCGCACUGGAAACUGUGUAGCUUGAGUACAGAAGAGGAAAGUGGAAUUCCACGUGUAGCGGUGAAAUGCGUAGAGAUGUGGAGGAACACCAGUGGCGAAGGCGACUUUCUGGGCUGUAACUGACGCUGAGGCGCGGAAGCGUGGGGAGCAAACAGG